RNAcentral lists this unclassified non-coding RNA (5167 nucleotides) under Camponotus floridanus (Florida carpenter ant). Its description in RNAcentral is "cyclin-T, transcript variant X6". Lineage: Eukaryota; Metazoa; Arthropoda; Insecta; Hymenoptera; Formicidae. The record is from RNAcentral.
UCUACGGACACGUCGGAAAGCGCUCCUUCGAGUGGCGACGAAACCCGAGUCGGAGGACUCGCGGGGACGAACAUUCCUAAAAGAAGGGAAGGAAAAGGAGAAGGAGAAGGAGGAGAAGGACAACGACGACAACGACGUAAUCUCCAGGACCAGGGUCUCGACGAUACGCUCGUCCAUGGGUUACGCAACAUGUAACGCGACCGAUACACCUUCCAUCAUCAGCGUUACGUUGUCACGUCGGGGUUGCAGGAAUGAGAGCUCGAUGACGAUGCGCCUUUUCGAAGCGCUGCCGAGGUUAUGAGAGUGCAUCCCGCAUCCCGACCAUCGCCAGGGGAUUUCGCGUGCUUCGCGUCGCGUUCGUUCCACAGUGUUCCGAACUCAUAAACAUAGUACUUGUACUCUACACCGCGUGCGUUCGCGAGAGAACCGCGAGAGCCAAGUGACACGGAGUGACAAGUUGGUGACGAUCUCGGGAUUUCCAUCCGUCGAACUCGGUCCCUGGGGGCCUGUCGCGUGGUGUGAAACUCGGGAAUAGACAUCAUUUCGUGAGAAAAAGGUCGCCCCCGUAAACCCAGACCCCUCUCUCGCGAAGGACAGACUCUCCGAGUGUUUACGUUAUCGAGUGUUAUCGUGUUCGCACCAGGGCGCCAUUUUCGAUCGCUCGAGCGAGCGACGUGACUCUAGUCGGCGAGAGACGUGACCGUAGCGGUGCGCGUGUCGAGUAUUUGAGACUCGGAACUUCGAGACUCGGAGCUCCCCUCGCCGCGUCCCCCAUUCCCCCCUCCCCCGGCUGUCCCCGCGAUCGCGUGUGAAUCGUGCGUGCAUCGUUUACUCGAUCUCGGGUGAAUUGUGUGUACAUAUAAAUGGCGGCUGACGAACGAUGGUACUUUACGAGAGAGCAGCUUGCAAACACGCCGAGCAGGAGGUUCGGCAUCGACGCCGACAAGGAGCUGAGCUAUCGGCAGCAGGCGGCCAACUUCAUUCAGGACAUGGGACAAAGACUUGUGGUGUCGCAAUUAUGUAUCAACACAGCUAUAGUUUACAUGCACAGGUUCUAUGUGUUCCAUUCGCUAACCCAGUUCCACAGGAAUGCUAUUGCUGUGGCGUCACUUUUUUUAGCGGCAAAAGUAGAAGAACAGCCAAGGAAAUUAGAACAUGUCAUCAAAAUGGCUUACAUGUGUCUUCACAGAGAGCAAGCACCACCUGACAGUAGGUCCGAUGUAAGUUUCAAGAACAAUAAAGUACAAUUUCUUGAACAGGCUCAAGAUUUGGUGUUCAAUGAAAAUGUUCUCCUACAAACAUUAGGAUUUGAUGUUGCCAUUGAUCAUCCACACACUCAUGUUGUUAGAUGUUGUCAACUGGUAAAAGCAAGCAAAGAACUGGCUCAAACUUCAUAUUUCAUGGCAUCUAAUAGUUUACACUUGACAACAAUGUGUCUGCAAUAUAAGCCCACAGUUGUUGCUUGCUUUUGCAUACAUCUUGCAUGUAAAUGGUCUAAUUGGGAGAUACCCCAAAGUACCGAAGGAAGACAAUGGUUCUGGUAUGUAGAUAAGACUGUAACUGCAGAUUUACUUCAAGAACUCACAGACGAAUUCUUACACAUAUUUGACAAGUGCCCCUCAAGAUUGAAAAGGAAAAUUAUGAGUAUUUCCGCAAGUCAGAGCCCAAGCAUUCAUCAUCCAAGUCUCCCAAAUUCCCCAUUUGAUACCGAACCACGUAGAGUACAAUCUCCGGCAGUACCAACGGACAGUGCUACUGCUGCCGCCGUCGCUCAUUUAAUUCGUUCUCAUCAUUCGGUGGAUAAUACUGCUCCUGCUGCCGCUCAUUCAAAUCGAUCCCAUCAUACAACAGACAAUGUAGCUUCUACUUCUACCGCUACCGCCUCUGUUGCUGCUGUCGCUCAUUCGAGUCGGUCUCAUCAUACGACGGACGGUGCCGUCGCUCAUUCAAGUCGUUCUCAUCAUACGACAGAUGGUACUGUCGCAGUCGGUCAUUCAAGUCGUUCGCAUCACACGCAGCAGGAAAAACAGGAUGAGAAGAAAAUUGGGACCGUUGCAGGACUAUCGACAUCAAGGGCGGCGAUAGAUUAUCGAGAGUAUCGUGAAAAGAAGGAACGUGAACGUUUGGAACGGGAAAAGGCGGCGACAAUUGGAUCCCAUAUCGCCGAUCCUAACAAACCUCCUCAUCAUUCGCACCAUCACAAGCCCAUGUCGAACGUAAGCAUCCCGAGUAAGCAUCAGAUACCAGUGCAAAAGACGAAUCUUCAUCAUAAUCAUCAUCAUCGACCGGAUAUGAAGGUCGGUCAACCAGUGCCACAGAGACAUUCCGCUAGUGGUCAUCCUAAUCGCGAUCCUAAUAGACAACGAUUAUCGAGAGAACAUAAUACUGGUGUAACUGGCACAAGCGCUAGUAUUGUGCAUUCGUCACAUGCUCACGUUAAUUUAGAAAGUUCCUCGUCCGAGUCUGUGUCUCAUCGAUCGGACGCCAGCAGCGUUACGCAAGAGUCGGGAUAUGGUACUUCACAAGAGAAGAUAAGUAACAACAAUCACAGUGGACAUAGACUGAACGCACUUGAUAGUAAACAUCAAGCGCACGACAAGAGAUUAUACCGAGAAGAUCCGCGACUCAAAUCUGCCAAAUAUCCAGAUAUAAAUAAAAUCGAGAAUCAACGACGAAAAACAGAAACGUUAGAACAAAGAUGCGAGGAAGUGCGAAAGCUAAUCGAGAAACCGUUGCCGCCGCCGAAGCAAGCGGACAUGCCAUACCUAAUGAAUGCGCAACAGAAACAACAGGCGCAUCAUUCCAAAUAUAAUCAACAGCAAGACAAAUCUCAAAAUAGCUCAUUCACGGCCGAUACAAAGCAUGUGACGACGAUCGGUCAGAAUGCGCUUUCUCAGGAUGUAUCGCCGAGUGCUUCGUCGUCACAGAUGGCUCAAAAGUCUGCACCUAAGGCACAAAUAUACAAUCAACAUACCGCGCAAGGUGUAUCCCAGAUUCUCAAGGACACCAUCAAAAAUGGCAAUUCCCAAUCCUGUCUGAAUUUGAAUAACAUGGAUGAUCCGAAAUCGGAGAAACGACCACGAACGAUCGCGCACGAGGAUCCUACGGAGAGAAAUUCUAUCGACGUGCAGCAGAGUUCGCACUUACAUACACCGCCUAGCAAGCAUAGGUCACUCUUCAGUCCAGAGACGCCAACCACGCCUAGAGAAUCGCAUGUUCAAAGUAGCGCGAGGCCUAAAUCAAAGCAAAAGAUGCCACUCUCCGCAACCACGAAAGUGAAAGAACGCGUGUCACCGUUUGCAAAUUCUCCGACUUCGCAAGAUACGUCAGCGAUGAAACGUUCAUCUUCCAGCGAUGGAAUGACGUUCGCACAUAAGAGAUCUCGUACGUCGAGCAUUGGUGAGAACGAACAGCCCGUGAAAAUUAAAACAGAGAUAAAGACGGAAGAUACAUCCGGUCUGGAAGCGAUGAAAAUGUUUAGUCGCGUACCUGAUCUGAUACAACCAAUACGCGACAAUAACAGAAGUAGCAGCGCAUCGUCUGUCAUUAAUGAUCUGAAGCCCCCGGAACUCAUAAAACCGUUCGAAUCGGAUCCGCCGCGUUUUAAUGCGAUCGCGCAACAGAAAACCUCAUCUCUUAACGUGCACGCCCUGACAAAUGGUAUGGAUCUUAACGUAGAACAGGAAUUUCCGGAACAUCGCGUGAAAAAAGAGGCCUUGGAGUAUUAUAAGAAGAAGGAACAACCCAGGCUUUCGGAAUUGCCGCUGCAUUCUCACUUGCAACCGAAAGUCGAAUAUUCAUCGCCGAUCAAAUCCGCACAAAGUAUAAGUGCGUUACUCCAAGAACCAUUGGCACCGAUGCCAUCGCUGUUGCAGAAUCUGCAACAAAUUAGUAGUCAAGUAUCCUGUCAGCAAGGGCAUCAGGAACAAUUACAACAGCAUCAGCAACAACCUAUUCAUCAUUCGUUGACGGAUCAUCAGCUAACAGUGACAACUCCUUGCCUGUCUAUACCCACUGUGAGCGAUACUUUCACGUCAAUAGCCUCGACAGUUGAUAUCAGUGUUUUUUCCGAUAGUAUGCCAAUGAUGCUAUCAAAUAGUAACAACAAUAUGACGGAACCAACAACCUCCGAAUUGGUUCACACAGUGACGAUAGUUCCUUCGACCGAAGAGAAGCGGUCUGAACACCACAAGAGUGAGAAGAAAAAGAAAAAGGAAAAGCACAAGCACAAAGAUAGAGAGAAGAGUAAGGAGAAACAUAAGCACAAACACAAGGACAAGGUUAAAGAGAGGCAUCGGGAGAAAAAAGAGAGGAACGAGGAAACACCGGCGGCGGCGCCCAUCAGGAUCACGAUCCCGAAGGACAAGUUGAACCUAAGCACGGAAACAUCGUCGAGUAUGCUUAGUACAAGUUCCAACUCGUUGGAAAAUAAGAACAUAUCGCCGCAGGGCACGGGUUUGAAGAUCAAAAUUCCAAAGGAACGACUCAAGGGCACCGACAAUGUGCCUAAUUCACCCGCGCAGCUGCCGAUGGUGCAGGGUUCGUUAAAGAUCAAAAUACGUAAACCAAAUACCGACGGUAUUUCCAGGAGUUCCGCGCCGCUGCCGCCGCCAUCGUCGACAAACGGUUCGAGCUCUGCCCAAUUUUCUUCCGAAUCAUCUACGAACGAACCGGCGACGCGGAAGCGUUGCAUCGAGAUGACCGGCAACAGUUCGGUGACCCCCUGUAGCGGUCCCCCGCUACCUACGACAAAGAAGCAGACGAUGAUGAUACCCGCGACGAGUUACAGCCAAAGCCAUCGACCUGGAGAAAGGCAGAACGGCAGACAUUAUAACUCCGGCAGCAAUAAUAAGGAAAGACACACGUCCAGCCAUCACAAAAGCGCCAACAAGCUGUCGCAGUCUCAGCAGUUCCAUGCGACGUAGUAUGCUGUUGGACUAAAUAAUAAGGAAGUGUCCCAAGUGAUCUGCCCACUCUGAAGAGAAAAGAAAUAGACAGACAAAAAUUAGAGAGGAGAAGAGAUUUUGUAAGAUGCCUGACGAGACUUUGUGAAGACAGAAUCUUGAUAACGAGAAAAAAAAAAGAAGAAAAACUUGAAGAUUGCGUUGUUAGAUUCUCUCUUCGCACUAUUUCGUCUUAUUGUUAGAUAUUUCAUAUUUACCAUGUU